This 497-nucleotide ribosomal RNA is filed under the name uncultured bacterium. Its description in RNAcentral is "partial 16S ribosomal RNA". It matches the Rfam family "Bacterial small subunit ribosomal RNA", at positions 28 to 507 of the family's 1533-position model. The record is from RNAcentral.
GAUGAACGCUGGCGGCGUGCCUAAUACAUGCAAGUCGAGCGAACAGACGAGGAGCUUGCUCCUCUGACGUUAGCGGCGGACGGGUGAGUAACACGUGGAUAACCUACCUAUAAGACUGGGAUAACUUCGGGAAACCGGAGCUAAUACCGGAUAAUAUAUUGAACCGCAUGGUUCAAUAGUGAAAGACGGUUUUGCUGUCUCUUAUAGAUGGAUCCGCGCCGCAUUAGCUAGUUGGUAAGGUAACGGCUUACCAAGGCGACGAUGCGUAGCCGACCUGAGAGGGUGAUCGGCCACAUUGGAACUGAGACACGGUCCAGACUCCUACGAGAGGCAGCAGUAGGGAAUCUUCCGCAAUGGGCGAAAGCCUGACGGAGCAACGCCGCGUGAGUGAUGAAGGUCUUCGGAUCGUAAAACUCUGUUAUUAGGGAAGAACAAAUGUGUAAGUAACUAUGCACGUCUUGACGGUACCUAAUCAGAAAGCCACGGCUAACUACGUG